UACAGAGGUCUCAAGCGUUGUUCGGAUUCAUUGGGCGUAAAGGGUGCGUAGGUGGUGCUGUAAGUCAGGUGUGAAAUCUCGGGGCUCAACCCCGAAACUGCACUUGAUACUGCGGUGCUCGAGGACUGGAGAGGAGAUCGGAAUUCAUGGUGUAGCAGUGAAAUGCGUAGAUAUCAUGAGGAAGACCAGUGGCGAAGGCGGAUCUCUGGGCCUGUACUGACGCUGAGGAGCGAAAGCGUGGGGAGCGAACAGG
This 253-nucleotide ribosomal RNA is filed under the name uncultured bacterium. Its description in RNAcentral is "partial 16S ribosomal RNA". It matches the Rfam family "Bacterial small subunit ribosomal RNA", at positions 524 to 776 of the family's 1533-position model. The record is from RNAcentral.